CCUGGUGGCUCAGAUGGUAAAGCAUCUGCCUGCAAUGCAGGAGACCCGGGUUCGAUUCCUGGGUCAGGA
This 69-nucleotide transfer RNA is filed under the name Bos taurus (domestic cattle). It matches the Rfam family "tRNA". Rfam says of the family: Transfer RNA (tRNA) molecules are approximately 80 nucleotides in length. Their secondary structure includes four short double-helical elements and three loops (D, anti-codon, and T loops). Further hydrogen bonds mediate the characteristic L-shaped molecular structure. tRNAs have two regions of fundamental functional importance: the anti-codon, which is responsible for specific mRNA codon recognition, and the 3' end, to which the tRNAs corresponding amino acid is attached (by aminoacyl-tRNA synthetases). tRNAs cope with the degeneracy of the genetic code in two manners: having more than one tRNA (with a specific anti-codon) for a particular amino acid; and 'wobble' base-pairing, i.e. permitting non-standard base-pairing at the 3rd anti-codon position. Lineage: Eukaryota; Metazoa; Chordata; Mammalia; Artiodactyla; Bovidae. RNAcentral also lists the same sequence under 3 other names. The record is from Rfam by way of RNAcentral.